AUCGUUCUGGUUCGUAUGAUUCGAUGACUGGUCUGAUUACGCGUGUGUGUGAAAUGUGUAACCGCUGUUACGACUGAGCACAUAAACCUUCUGAUC
Molecule: small nucleolar RNA, 96 nt
Organism: Rhinichthys klamathensis goyatoka
Lineage: Eukaryota; Metazoa; Chordata; Actinopteri; Cypriniformes; Leuciscidae
Product: small nucleolar RNA U13
Exons: 1
Source: RefSeq, a predicted model, not a curated record